Daphnia pulex (common water flea) is the source of this 2301-nucleotide long non-coding RNA. RefSeq lists it as uncharacterized. The record is from RefSeq and is a predicted model, not a curated record. The transcript is spliced from 7 exons. NCBI's taxonomy places the organism in Eukaryota, Metazoa, Arthropoda, Branchiopoda, Diplostraca, Daphniidae.
UGAAAAUAUAUAUUUAUUUUGAAGUUCUUAAUAGGGAAAACGUUUAUUGUGAUAGAAUCUUUUGCCAUCUGAAUCUCUCUCUCUGGCUGAAACAUGGACUCGUCAAAUUAAUUCAUUCAUUCAUAAUAAACCUCGGUAAAUAAACCACGAAAGAAUUAAGACGUGGGAAAAGAUUGAGAACAGCAGUUGCAGAUAAAACUAAUGCAAGAUUGCUGUUGCAAAAUUUCUGGAUUGAAGAUUGGUUGGACAGCAGCACUACCUUGAAUUUCAAAAAAAGUUGUCUCAUACAGAUAAAUCGAUCAAACACACUUCUCUAGAACCUGAAAGUGACAUUCUGUGGUAUGGUGGUGACUGGUGAAGAAGAAAGAAGUGACCUUGAAGAAAAGUCAUCAAUUCCAUCUUGCUGUGACCCAGAACAAAUGCUGGAUUGUGCAUCACACUGCUAUCCUUUUAACAAUUACCUUCCGCUUCCCUUUAACAAUGAACUGGAUCCACAGAAGGCUAAUGAAGGCUGUGCUGCUGCUUAUUACUGCCAAGGCAUACUACAGACUCUAUACAUCUUUACCUAAAGAGGAAGGAAAGGAAUAAGGAGUGAUCUCCCUUGCAGAUCCCAUUGAACUGUGCUACACUUUAACGGAAUUAUUUGACGCCAUCGACUGUACUGGAUUAAUGAAAGCAGUCAACCUAGCUUCUCAACGUUGCUUGAAGGAGACUUAGUCAGGAGCCCGAAUCCGUUGUGCUCCUUGAGAAUCUGUGAAAGCCGCCCAUCUUGACUCACGCGCCAUGAUAAAGAUCCAACAAAUAGCUACUUGAUGACGAAUUCCCAAGGGUUUUGAUAUUUUGGACCAAGAUGACCUUCGAUCGGGCGAAGAAAACUUUUUACGAGGCUAAAUCAAAUGUUAUGGGUCCACUGAUGCUCCGCCUUUUGUUGAUACCCUACUACGUCUAUGAAGGACAUGUCGAAGGAUAAACAUCUCGAUCUUUCUCAAUGCGUUGGAAGCGCCCGUUACAUUGAUAAUGUCCUCAUUGCGGUUUAAAUAGCUUCCGUUCACCAGAAAUUCAGCGUGAAAAUAAUUUUUGUCGAAGACUGCCUCUACAAUUUGGUCAACAAAGCCUGGAAUCUCCAGUACAAGGAUCAAAACAAACUCACAUUCAAAAUGGUGUAACUGGCGAAGGAGCUCAUUUGGUUUGGAUUGGACUCAACAGUUUCAACGUUGUUCAAGACUUACUCGUAAUUUGCUCAACAUCCUAGGCAGCGCGUCCAGUCUGGCUGAUGCCGAAUAUUUUCACAGAAACAAUCAAGGGUCAGGACAGCAUGCAAUAAUCGAAGAAAUGGAAACCCCUGACGGAGAGGGUGUGCUGUGGUCGUUGAGUGACAUAUUCACCGUCAUGACCACUUGCCCAGUUUAGACCUGGGAACGGCCGGAUUUGCCAAGUCUCCCAAGCAUCUUUGAUAAUCACCACACGGAAAUCAUGAGAGGUUCGGACUUCGAUAAAGUGAUGCCGAGUUUGGAAUCGUGGAUCAUCGAAUCAUUCAUUCGGCUGGAGAAGAUCUGGGUUCUCUCAGAUGACUCGGCGCAAUAACUCACACAUCUCAUCCAGCGGAGCAACUCGCUACUUCACACCCGCCAUUUAGGGAUCCAGCAAAGAAACCUUCACUGCUCUGCCGCAUAUUCCUCGGCGCACUACGCUUUCUAACCCAUUCUUAGCGACAAGAGAAGCAACUCAAAAGGAAAGAACCAAGGAGUGUUUAACGAGAUCUCUUUUUAAAUUGCCAAACGUCAUCAUCCCCACUCUUCGAUGGGCAAAGAUCGAGCGCGAGGAAUAUCCCGGCGUUCCAGGUGUUGCAAAACGCUUUUGGUCUCAACGCCUCCGCGCAUUUCGUCGCACGUGAAUGCAACUCCCAUCCGGCUGCUGCAUAACGCGGUUGGACACCUUUCAGGGCUGUCCAGGAGUCGUCACUUCUACUUGGGCGUCAGUCUUUUGCCCGCGGCCCAUCUUCACAACGAUGCAGGCCGUUGGAGGUCUGCAACAUCCUGCUGGGUCUGGUAGUCAUGGCGACAGACAUAGAUGGCCUCUACGCGUUGGUCAAGUUCAACGUUAAGCCCAGCAAGAGAUGGAACGCAUCUGCGGCUACCAGACGCUGACAUACCUCCUGGAACACCUCAAGACUUGGCUCAACAACCACAUCCAUCAUCUAUAUAUGAUCCUCGUCCUAAUCGGGUUCGAACAGCAUAACAUCAAGGCCACAAACGAGCCCAACAACAGCCUGGCAUUCGGGGACUUGCUGGCUUAUCUUGA